Molecule: ribosomal RNA, 208 nt
Filed under: uncultured bacterium
Lineage: Bacteria
Description: partial 16S ribosomal RNA
Rfam family: Bacterial small subunit ribosomal RNA
Source: RNAcentral
CGUGUAGGCGGUUCGCUAAGUCUGAUGUGAAAGCCCGGGGCUCACCCCCGGAAGUGCAUUGGAAACUGGCGGACUCGAGUCCCGGAGAGGAGGGUGGAAUUCCUGGUGUAGCGGUGAAAUGCGUAGAUAUCAGGAGGAACACCGGUGGCGAAGGCGGCCCUCUGGACGGUGACUGACGCUAAGACGCGAAAGCGUGGGGAAGCAAACA